RNAcentral lists this transfer RNA (73 nucleotides) under Nitrospinaceae bacterium. RNAcentral describes it as "tRNA-Ile". It matches the Rfam family "tRNA". Rfam says of the family: Transfer RNA (tRNA) molecules are approximately 80 nucleotides in length. RNAcentral also lists the same sequence under 1 other name. The record is from RNAcentral. Lineage: Bacteria; Pseudomonadati; Nitrospinota; Nitrospinia; Nitrospinales; Nitrospinaceae.
GGGCCUAUAGCUCAGUUGGUAGAGCCCCCGGCUCAUAACCGGUCGGUCCCAGGUUCGAGUCCUGGUGGGCCCA